RNAcentral lists this ribosomal RNA (341 nucleotides) under uncultured Glomeromycotina. RNAcentral describes it as "eukaryotic LSU rRNA". The record is from RNAcentral. Lineage: Eukaryota; Fungi; Glomeromycota.
AUCAGCCUUUCGUGUGCGAUUCUGUGGAGUUUGAGGAGCUUAACACCUUCAUGCUUUGCAUAUUCGUGCUCUUGGGUGUACUUGCCCGUGUGGUUGGUUAACAUCAAUUUCGGGCACCAUAAAAUGACUGGAGGAAUGUAGCUUCGAUCUUGUAUUGAAGUGUUAUAGCCUUCGGUAGAUGUGGUGAUCGAGAUUGAGGAUUGCAACGGAUACCUUUCGGGGCUACCUGUCUGAUCUCUGAUCGUUGCUUUGGUGCUGAAAGCGUGCUUAUAGUUAUCAAAGUCGAUGGUCAAUAGGUUAGAAUGGGUUAAAUUCGUUAAGGAUGUUGACGUAAUGGCUUU